RNAcentral lists this ribosomal RNA (1400 nucleotides) under uncultured bacterium. RNAcentral's name for it is "bacterial SSU rRNA". It matches the Rfam family "Bacterial small subunit ribosomal RNA". The record is from RNAcentral.
UUAGAGUUUGAUCCUGGCUCAGGAUGAACGCUAGCGGCAGGCUUAACACAUGCAAGUCGAGGGGCAGCAUAAACAUUGCUUGCAAUGUUAGAUGGCGACCGGCGCACGGGUGCGUAACGCGUAUGUAACCUACCUUAAACAGGGGCAUAACACUGAGAAAUUGGUACUAAUUCCCCAUAACACCUGAAGGGGCAUCCUUUUUGGUUGAAAGUUCCGGCGGUUUAAGAUGGACAUGCGUUGUAUUAGCUAGUUGGUGGGGUAACGGCUCACCAAGGCGACGAUACAUAGGGGGACUGAGAGGUUAACCCCCCACAUUGGUACUGAGACACGGACCAAACUCCUACGGGAGGCAGCAGUGAGGAAUAUUGGUCAAUGGACGCAAGUCUGAACCAGCCAUGCCGCGUGCAGGAAGACGGCUCUAUGAGUUGUAAACUGCUUUUGUAUGAGGGUAAACCUAGGUACGUGUACCUAGCUGAAAGUAUCAUACGAAUAAGGAUCGGCUAACUCCGUGCCAGCAGCCGCGGUAAUACGGAGGAUCCAAGCGUUAUCCGGAUUUAUUGGGUUUAAAGGGUGCGUAGGCGGUUUUAUAAGUUAGAGGUUAAAUGUCAGUGCUUAACAUUGGCCUGCCUCUAAUACUGUAUGACUAGAGAUUAGAUGCGGUAGGCGGAAUGUAUGGUGUAGCGGUGAAAUGCGUAGAGAUCAUACAGAACACCGAUUGCGAAGGCAGCUUACCAAACUAAAUCUGACGUUGAGGCACGAAAGCGUGGGUAGCAAACAGGAUUAGAUACCCUGGUAGUCCACGCAGUAAACGAUGAUAGCUCGUUGUCGGCGAUACACAGUCGGUGACUUAGAGAAAUCGAUAAGCUAUCCACCUGGGGAGUACGUUCGCAAGAAUGAAACUCAAAGGAAUUGACGGGGGCCCGCACAAGCGGAGGAACAUGUGGUUUAAUUCGAUGAUACGCGAGGAACCUUACCCGGGCUUGACAUCCCUUUGACCGCUCCUUAAUCGGAGCUUUCCUUCGGGACAGAGGAGACAGGUGGUGCAUGGUUGUCGUCAGCUCGUGUCGUGAGAUGUUGGGUUAAGUCCCGCAACGAGCGCAACCCCUAUCUUUAGUAGCCAGCAUUUCGGAUGGGCACUCUAGAGAGACUGCCAGGGAUAACCUGGAGGAAGGUGGGGAUGACGUCAAAUCAUCAUGCCCCUUAUGACCAGGGCUGCACACGUGCUACAAUGGCGUAAACAAAGGGAAGCAACCACGUGAGUGUGAGCAAAUCUCAAAAAUAACGUCUCAGUUCGGAUUGUAGUCUGCAACUCGACUACAUGAAGCUGGAAUCGCUAGUAAUCGCGAAUCAGAAUGUCGCGGUGAAUACGUUCCCGGGUCUUGCACACACCGCCCGUCAAG